CCUACGGGAGGCAGCAGUGGGGAAUCUUGCGCAAUGGGCGAAAGCCUGACGCAGCCAUGCCGCGUGAAUGAUGAAGGUCUUAGGAUUGUAAAAUUCUUUCACCGGGGACGAUAAUGACGGUACCCGGAGAAGAAGCCCCGGCUAACUUCGUGCCAGCAGCCGCGGUAAUACGAAGGGGGCUAGCGUUGCUCGGAAUUACUGGGCGUAAAGGGAGCGUAGGCGGAUAGUUUAGUCAGAGGUGAAAGCCCAGGGCUCAACCUUGGAAUUGCCUUUGAUACUGGCUAUCUUGAGUACGGAAGAGGUAUGUGGAACUCCGAGUGUAGAGGUGAAAUUCGUAGAUAUUCGGAAGAACACCAGUGGCGAAGGCGACAUACUGGUCCGUUACUGACGCUGAGGCUCGAAAGCGUGGGGAGCAAACAGGAUUAGAUACCCUGGUAGUCCACGCUGUAAACGAUGAGUGCUAGUUGUCGGCAUGCAUGCAUGUCGGUGACGCAGCUACGCAUUAAGUACACUCCGCCGUCGGGGAGGUACGGGUCGGCGAACGAAUUAAAACCUUAACAAACUAGAAGUUAGACGGCGUGAGACGUGCCGACGGACGACGACGAGGGAGGUUAGG
RNAcentral lists this ribosomal RNA (616 nucleotides) under uncultured bacterium. Its description in RNAcentral is "bacterial SSU rRNA". The stretch from base 1 to 518 matches the Rfam family "Bacterial small subunit ribosomal RNA", at positions 338 to 873 of the family's 1533-position model. The record is from RNAcentral.